CCGUAGGUGAACCUGCGGAAGGAUCAUAGUUAUGGAGAGGGUCAACGUCCUUCACGGGACGCCCCUCGUUCACAUUAUGGAUGCAAUGCCCUAACCGGCUAGCGGAUCGUCCUCUGUGGCGCCGCACAUCUUUUGAAAGUCUUUGACUACGCUUGAGUAACAUUACUACAAUGAAAUACAACCAGUAACGUUGGAUCCCUUGGCAUGUCAUUCGAUGAAGACCGUUGCAAAAUGCGAUAAGUGGUGUGAUAUGCAAGUCCAAAACUUAUACGUGAACCAUCGAAUUGUUGAACGCACUGCAUCGAUCCUUACCCAGGAACGAUAUGCCCCAUUGAGCGUCAUUAUGUCUUCGCGACCUCAUCUUUCAUUAGGUGUUGUCCGGGUUCGGGAUUCACGGCCUUCAGGUCGCGUCUCCUUAGAUACAUUGCUGCGCAGGAGUCACUGGCGUCCUUGUCAUAAAUGUCGAGGCGCGUCUAUAGUGUGCACCGGCGCAAGAUCAGGUUCCUCGUUGACCAGAUCAAUUGCGAGACCUUUGUUGGGAUUGCAACUUCAAUACAUGACCUCACGGGGGCAGGAUGACCCGCUAGACUUAAGCAUAUUAAUCAGCGGAGGAAAAGAAACUAACUAGGAUUCCCCCAGUAACUGCGAGUGAAGAGGGAUGAGCUCAAUGUGUGAAUCAGGUCGGGAUUAGCUCCUUGCUUGAGUUGUGCACUAUAGACGGCGGAUCAGCGCUUGAAAGCUUGUGGUGUAUGUCCGAUGAAACUCGGUGCCAUAGAGGGUCACAGUCCUGUACUUGCCUUACUAGCUUUUGCGCAUUUGACCGACGUUCUGCGAGUC
This 837-nucleotide ribosomal RNA is filed under the name uncultured Tulasnella mycobiont of Riccardia latifrons. RNAcentral's name for it is "eukaryotic LSU rRNA". The stretch from base 558 to 837 matches the Rfam family "Eukaryotic large subunit ribosomal RNA", at positions 1 to 266 of the family's 3401-position model. The record is from RNAcentral. Lineage: Eukaryota; Fungi; Basidiomycota; Agaricomycetes; Cantharellales; Tulasnellaceae.